RNAcentral lists this ribosomal RNA (485 nucleotides) under uncultured Coriobacteriaceae bacterium. RNAcentral describes it as "bacterial SSU rRNA". It matches the Rfam family "Bacterial small subunit ribosomal RNA", at positions 8 to 507 of the family's 1533-position model. The record is from RNAcentral. Lineage: Bacteria; Bacillati; Actinomycetota; Coriobacteriia; Coriobacteriales; Coriobacteriaceae.
AGAGUUUGAUCCUGGCUCAGGAUGAACGCUGGCGGCGUGCCUAACACAUGCAAGUCGAACGGUUAAACCGCCCUUCGGGGCGGACAUACAGUGGCGAACGGGUGAGUAACACGUGACCAACCUGCCCCGCACCCCGGGACAACCGCCGGAAACGGCGGCUAAUACCGGAUACUCUCCGAGGCGCGCAUGCGCCACGGAGGAAAGCUCCGACGGUGCGGGAUGGGGUCGCGGCCCAUUAGGUAGUAGGCGGGGCAACGGCCCACCUAGCCUGCGAUGGGUAGCCGGCCUGAGAUGGCGAUCGGCCACAUUGGGACUGAGAUACGGCCCAGACUCCUACGGGAGGCAGCAGUGGGGAAUAUUGCGCAAUGGGGGAAACCCUGACGCAGCAACGCCGCGUGCGGGAUGACGGCCUUCGGGUUGUAAACCGCUUUCAGCAGGGAAGAACAUCGACGGUACCUGCAGAAGAAGCCCCGGCUAACUACGUG